UUAUCGAUUUCCUUUGUACACCCCUAGUGCAUACACCACAUGCAUAAAUUGGUAAAUUAUUCGCCGGUCGGUUGGAUAUAUAUAUAUAUAUAUAUAUAUAUAUUAUUUUUAAGAGCAAAUAAAAAUAUACAUUUUUCAAUUAUUUAAUUGACAUUCAAUGGCUCAAACGGAUAAGACCAACAAGUUUGAGAGCACCUUGUAAGCAUUUAAAUUUUAUCAAAUUUAAAUUUAUAGAAUAAUUUGGACCAUAUAAAAUUCAAGACAUUAGUCCAAACAAAUAUUGUGGCUAAUAAAUUGGGUUAAUUAUGUAUGUGUCGGGAUAAUCCAUUUAAUUAGACUACAAAUUAAAGGAUAAGCUCACUCCAUUAGCACAAGGUCCAAAUUGCUAUUAGCCCAUCUUAAAGCUCAGGCUCAUGCCACGUGUCAAGUGAUGUGGCAAUCCAAGUCAAAAGAACGAGCCAACAAAAUCAUGCCAUGUGUCAAGAGAUGUGGUCAUCCAAGACAAGUAAAUGAUCCAACUAAAUCAUGACAUUUGUCAAGUAAUGUGGCAAUCCAAGUCAAAUAAAUGAGCCAAUUAAAUCAUGCCGAGUGUCUGGAUGGUAUUGGUCAUUUCAAACGGACCAAUCAAAUCGCGGAGCCACACCACUCCCUACAACUAUAAAUAGAGGUCUUCAUAAAACUAAAAGACACAAGAAUUAAGAACAAGAAGCAAGCAGAGAACUCGUGGAUCAAACACCGCGCAUUUCUCUACAAGCUACAAGUCCAAGCACUCAUGCUACAAGUUCAAGUUCAAGAACGAAGCCAAAUCAAAUACCCAGGCGUUCAAGAUCAAAUUACUUGUUCGUGAUCAAACACAAAUUCAAGUUCAAGGAGGAGAUUCAAGACCAAACUUUACAAGCCCUUGAAUCAAAU
This 912-nucleotide long non-coding RNA is filed under the name Nicotiana benthamiana. RNAcentral's name for it is "long non-coding RNA (NBEN_LNC032156)". The record is from RNAcentral. Lineage: Eukaryota; Viridiplantae; Streptophyta; Magnoliopsida; Solanales; Solanaceae.